Molecule: ribosomal RNA, 250 nt
Filed under: uncultured bacterium
Lineage: Bacteria
Description: partial 16S ribosomal RNA
Rfam family: Bacterial small subunit ribosomal RNA
Source: RNAcentral
CUCCGCCGGCGACCGGCGCACAGGUGCGUAACGCGUAUGCAACCUACCUUUAACAGGGGCAUAACACUGAGAAAUUGGUACUAAUUCCCCAUAACAUUCGAGAAGGCAUCUUCUUGGGUUAAAAACUCCGGUGGUUAAAGAUGGGCAUGCGUUGUAUUAGCUAGUUGGUGAGGUAACGGCUCACCAAGGCAACGAUACAUAGGGGGACUGAGAGGUUAACCCCCCACAUUGGUACUGAGACACGGACCAA